UUGACCUCAAAUCAGGUAGGUCC
Molecule: ribosomal RNA, 23 nt
Filed under: Crepidotus sp. 930
Lineage: Eukaryota; Fungi; Basidiomycota; Agaricomycetes; Agaricales; Crepidotaceae
Description: partial 28S ribosomal RNA
Source: RNAcentral